GGUUAGAGAAAAGAGAAGAAGAAGAGGAUCUUCUUCUAGGAUUGCUGAGUUCACCUCUUCCCUUCCUCCAUCUAUGAGUUUUCUGAGAGUGUCUCACAUCUAAAACUCCUUCUCCUACUUCUCAUCUUUGGAAGAGUCCAAAUCAAGAAGAAGGAGGCAUCUGAUCGACCAUCGAAGAAGGAUCAACAUAGUACUAGCAUAUUGUACUGAUUUUCUGGACCAAGACUUUUGAUCGUGAUUCGUGGACUCAUGUGGACGACUCCUAGAGGCUAGACGCGUAUGCGGCACGCAACAUCAUUCUCAAGUCCGGAUCAACAAAGUUAGAACGUCUAACUUGCAAGGUAAUAGAUCUGAUCUAUUAUAUUUUACAUACAUUAGAUGUAGUAUAGAAACAUGUUGAUAUGAUCAACAUGUAGUUCUUGCUCUUUAUAUUUUAAUUUCUGAUUUAAUACCAUAUAAUAAUCAUGU
This 468-nucleotide long non-coding RNA is filed under the name Elaeis guineensis (African oil palm). RNAcentral's name for it is "long non-coding RNA (EGUI_LNC016148)". The record is from RNAcentral. Lineage: Eukaryota; Viridiplantae; Streptophyta; Magnoliopsida; Arecales; Arecaceae.